RNA transcript from Piliocolobus tephrosceles (Ugandan red Colobus), 5649 nucleotides. It is a transcript of the gene named kelch domain containing 4, with no coding region annotated. Lineage: Eukaryota; Metazoa; Chordata; Mammalia; Primates; Cercopithecidae. The record is from RefSeq and is a predicted model, not a curated record. The transcript has 14 exons.
CCGGAAGCGACUCGAACUCGAGGCCGGAAGUGACUCCAUUUCUGUGCGCCGAGCUCCGCCCCACGAGCACCUGGUUUCGGGCGGAGAGCGCGCGCCGUUUCGUACCCUGUUGUCCCAUCGCGGCUUGGGACUCGGCAAGAUGGGCAAGAAGGGGAAGAAGGAGAAGAAGGGCCGCGGCGCGGAGAAGACGGCCGCCAAGAUGGAGAAGAAGGUGUCUAAGCGCUCGCGGAAGGAGGAGGAAGACCUGGAAGCGCUCAUAGCCCAUUUCCAGACACUCGAUGCCAAGAGGACUCAGAUUGUGGAAACUCCGUGCCCCCCGCCCUCACCAAGGUUAAAUGCCUCCCUCUCAGUUCAUCCUGAGAAAGAUGAAUUAAUCCUUUUCGGAGGUGAAUAUUUCAACGGCCAAAAAACUUUUUUGUAUAACGAGCUGUAUGUCUACAAUAUCAGAAAGGACGCCUGGACCAAAGUUGACAUCCCCAGUCCACCUCCGAGGCGCUGUGCUCACCAGGCGGUGGUGGUGCCUCAAGGUGGCGGACAGCUGUGGGUCUUUGGAGGGGAGUUUGCCUCUCCCAACGGAGAGCAGUUCUACCACUACAAGGAUCUCUGGGUCCUGCAUUUGGCCACCAAGACCUGGGAACAAGUCAAAUCAACAGGGGGUCCUUCGGGUCGGAGUGGACAUCGGAUGGUGGCCUGGAAGAGACAAUUGAUCCUUUUUGGUGGCUUCCAUGAGAGUACACGGGAUUACAUCUACUACAAUGAUGUGUAUGCCUUUAAUCUGGACACUUUCACAUGGAGCAAGCUGUCCCCGUCAGGCACAGGGCCCACACCCAGAUCAGGCUGCCAGAUGUCCGUCACUCCCCAGGGCGGCAUCAUCAUCUACGGGGGCUACUCGAAACAGAGAGUUAAGAAAGACGUGGACAAGGGCACGCGGCACUCAGACAUGUUCCUGCUGAAGCCGGAGGACGGGAGAGAAGGGCGGCCUGAGCCUGUGUGCUCCGCUCCUCAGCCCCCAGGAGGAAAGCAUCGUGACAAGUGGGUGUGGACUCGGAUGAACCCUUCGGGGGUCAGGCCCACCCCACGGUCUGGCUUUUCCGUGGCCAUGGCCCCGAAUCACCAGACGCUGUUCUUCGGGGGUGUCUGUGACGAGGAAGAGGAGGAGAGCCUGGCGGGCGAGUUCUUCAACGAUCUGUACUUCUACGACGCCACCAGGAACCGCUGGUUUGAGGGACAGCUGAAGGGGCCCAAGUCUGAGAAGAAGAAGCGCAGGCGGGGCAGGAGAGAGGAGUCCGAAGGUGGCAGCAAGCUGGCGUGUGGGGGAACUGGCACGCAGGUGCCUGUGGAGGUGGUCAAGGAGGUGGUGGCCGAGGAUGGGACCGUGGUCACCAUUAAGCAGGUGCUCGCCGCCCCAGGCUCGGCAGGGCAGCCCCAGUCUGAGGACGAAGACAGCCUCGAGGAGGCCGGCAGCCCCACACCCGGGCCGUGUCCACGCUCCAACGCCAUGCUGGCCGUGAAGCAUGGGGUGCUGUAUGUCUACGGGGGCAUGUUUGAGGCCGGCGACCGCCAGGUCACCCUCAGCGACCUGCACUGCCUGGACCUGCACAGGAUGGAGGCGUGGAAGGCCUUGGUGGAGAUGGACCCAGAAACUCAGGAGUGGCUGGAGGAGACAGACUCGGAAGAGGACAGUGAGGAGGUUGAAGGUGCUGAGGGUGGAGACGAGGAUGAGGAUGAAGACAGUGGAGAGGAGCGCGGUGCGGAGGACGGAGGCCUCCCCCUCGGCUGAGUGUGUUUCUCUCUCUCCUUCCUCCUUGCGUAUCAGAAGAGCCCCCUCCAGGGGCACCUGGCAAGUGCUGUGCCCACGUCCGCCCGGGACCCAGCCGUGUUGGGUGAGGCUCUCGGGGCCAGCCUGUGCCCUGACACACAGGAGAGAGCUGAAGAACCAGAAGAGGGCCCUGACUGCCCAGCCAUCUUCACCCUCGGGGUCAGCCUUUGACGUCUGGAAACUGAAAAGCAGCCCAGGGCCAGCGCACACCUUCCCCGUUCUCGUUCACGUAUGGCCCCGCUGGCCGGCUCCACACAGGGAUCUCCUGGUGGGGGUCCCUCGUGUGCAGUGGCCUCACUUCUGGGAGCCCCUAUGCCGCCGCAUGGUCUCUGGUGAGGCCCUGGUGGUCCCUGUCGGGUUUAGGGUUUAGGAUUAGCAUUUGCAAAGCGACAGGAUGGGAGGCCGGAGGGCGAGGGCUCCCAGCGUUUCCACAUGGCUGCCACCAGGUAUCUCCGGCCAGCUCCUCCUGGCUCCCGUGCUGCAGCGCCCUUGCCCCCGAAGGCUGUGGUGCGCUAACCCCCACCCAAGGCCUGCUCCAGUCCAAGACUGAAGGCCAGUUCAGAUUUGCACAAUUGGGGUCAAAAGUUGAGCACUGAAACCACACCCAGUGCAGUUUUGUGGGUAUCUUAAAUAUUUUGAACAGUGGGAAUAUAGGAUCCUUAGCUCUCUGUAAUGGGCCGACAUAACUGUGGUCCCAUUUCUUAUCUGGGAGUUGAAAACAGGGUGGUGGGGAGACUCCCCUCCUGGCGGAACCAGUGUUGAGCAGAGAGGACUAGAAGCUGACUUGGCAGCGAGCACCUGUGAGCACCUCCCUGCUCCCUUGGCCGAUUCAUCCUCAUGGCUCCAGGCGGGCCCAGGAGUACCUGGGUCACCGUGGGGCAGUGGCUUCAGAAGCGUCAUCUCUGAGGAUCACCUCAGGGGCACUUGGCUAGCUCUUCCCCAGCAGGGGCACGUGCUGAGCUCCCUGGUGCAGCCAGGUGUUCAGGAGGCCUCAGCAGGUGGGUGGCACUUGAACUGGCCCCGAGGGCCCUGCCCGCUGCCAUGGGUGUGACCUCACUUCAGGCUCCGAGCACUGCCUGUUCCCUGGUGGGGACACCUGUCUGGUGCAUCCGGAUGUGUGGGUGGCACUGCCGAUGGGUGAGGCUGCAGGGGUAGCCCCCCUGGAGGGCUGCAGCUCGUGUGUGCGUUGUGCUGGCCCCCCCCGCCGACCCCCGAGGGCUGCAGCUCGUGUUUGUGGUGUCGGGCUUUGGUGGCCGGUUUGGGCACUUUGUCUCCAGUGCGGGGCAGGCAGGGUUCUUUCCUCACGCUCUCAGCUGAGCUGGUUGGGAGAGGCUCGGGCAGGGCAGAGAAGCCAGCGUGCAGGCAGCAGCGUCCCCGCCCGCACAGGCUCUGCGGCUCUGGCCCUUGUCCUGAAGAUGGACCCUGUUGUGUGGCCGGUUCUUUCUUCCCUCCUGCCCUUGGAGGAAGGAAUGGAAAGAUCUUGUUGGCUUCAAUGCAGUUGUCUGUUAUCAGAGAUUGUCUUUCAGAGGAGCUUGUAACUAAUUAGAUGAGAUUCCAAGGAAAAAGAUACUUUUGAAUCAACCAAGUUGAAAGAAAGAUGACAGCAGCCCUGAGGAAGAAACUUCUUGUACACUUUCUUGUACAGAAAGCAUUUUGCUUUUGUUGCUAAAGAUUUGAUUUGAAUGAAAGAUGCUGAUCAGAACCAAUGGGGAUCAGACAGACAAGCUCCCAGCAUGGAGUGGCUGCCACGGCCGUGAUGAAAACAGCAGCGCCCCUUCAGUGUGCAACCGCGGGAGACGCAGAACGCAACACGGGGGGUGGUGGAUUCCCGUGCAGAGCUCUGCCUGCCCCAUGGGUCUGUGGUCUGCUUUGUCUGCUGGAGCCCAGUUUAUUGAACCGCUUGGUGGCCAGACAGCCGCCAUAGGGCGUGAGCAGCCGGCAUGAAAGCCCAGGGCCUCUGUCUCCCGGGAGCUGCUGGCACAGCGUGGCUGGGACACGCCAUACUCGGUGCCACAGUUUCCUCCAGUUCCUCGGUGUGGUGAGCUGCUGGCUGUUAGGAAGGCUUUUCCUCAGCUCCGGCCCUCCCACACGGCCCCCGGACCCCAGACUGCAGGUGGGCGGGCAUGUCAGGUGAGGCGCUCUGGCCGACCUGCUUAGCAGCAGGGCCACAGCUGCUCGCAGGGCUUUGUGGGAUUUCAAAGAUGAAUCAUCUUGUUCUCCGUUCUCCCCCUGCUGCCCCUGCGCUCCCUGCUCUGUGUGAGGACGGACUGGAAGACGGGCCAUGAGCCGUGGCUGUUUUCGUGGUUGGGCGGGAGGUGUUGGGUGGAAUGAACAUCAAGGGAACUAACUACCCGUUGAGCUUAGAAAUCCUUGCCAGGCGGUUAGUUUGUGUUUGUUUUUAGACGAGAGUCGUGUUGACUGCAGUUUGACAUCUGAUUUUUUUUUAAUUGAGUUGGUACAAGCAGGAUGUCAUUGGCUAGGUGACAGUUACAGAGUCACUGAGGGACAAAUGCCAAGAUGCCUGUUGGUGAGAGAGACCCUCUCCGGGGCUUUCCAGAGGGGCCUCCUUCCACGUGACGUUCAGGUAAGAGGUGAGACCCCACGCUGGACGUGGCACUCGGCUGUUGCAGUGAGGAGGUGGUGCCGUGUGCUGAUGGCUUCCAUCAGAGAAGAGUCUGCUUUCUUCCAGAAGGAGCAGGGGAUGGUGGUUCCCCAGCCCAAAAGGAAAAGGGGCCGAGCUCUAGCUGUGAUCACGACCUCAGCCUGCCUGCCUUUGUGCGUGGGAGGAACUUGCUGGUGACCGCUGCUCUCCCGGGCAGUGUAAGAGUGUUGAGUGGAGGCCCGUGGGCACUGGAGGCCCAUCUCGUUUUCAUAACCCAGAUGGCUCCCAGCACAGGUUGCGGUCACCUCCAUUUCUCUUUCACGAGAGAGCUACAGCAAUGCCAUCUGAGCACACAAGCAGUCCCUGCUGGACGCUGGACGCUGACGCACUGUCAGGGCCAAGGGCCACAGUGCAGGUACCACGGCGACCUGGCUUCCCUGAGUUCAGCUCAUGCCUCUCGUUUUCCUUGUCUCAACCUUCAGAGCCCUUCCAAGCCCCCACUGGCUGCAGCCCACCCAGGGACCCACCUGUAGAGGCUGGACUCUGAGGUGUGAGAGGUGCAGGUUUACAAAACUCUGGCUGGGAAGAAAGAGAUGGAGUAACCGCUCCCUGAGAAACAGAAACGGGGACAUUUAAUUACAUGAACGCGUGCAUUUAAAAACCGCCUGUGCACUCCCGGAGGGCAGAGCCUGCCUCUCUGGUGACUUUUGUGUCCCCCAUUCACUUACAGGCUGUGACAAACCUCGUGCCCACACUGCCUGCACUGCCGGGAGACUCAGGGCUGGGGGAGUCAUGCCCCGGCCACCACUGGCGAGCCAGCGAGACUGAAGACCCCGCGCAUGCUGACCCGGGGACGCCGCGGAACUCACUCGAGAUUCCUGCUCACAGCACGUUUCCUGCUCGGAAGCCAGGAGAGCCUCCACCUGCCACCCAGCUCUGUCCACGUGUCCAUCACACAGCUCUGCAGCAGAAGGAACUUCAGUAAAGACACUGGUUUGUAAUGAGACGAGACAAGCGUUCCAGUGUCACACGACAUUGUUUAUUACUAAAAGGAGAAGAAUUUCUCUUUAAUCUUGACAGUGUUCCUUGCUUUCUUAACAGUAGGAUUUAAACUGUUACGUUCAUUUAGGAAAAGAAUUUGAUUUUCAUUUUGUAAGUAACCAAGCUAUCUUUCCAGCUUAAAAACAAAGAAAAAAGGCUCAGGGUAACUUUUUAAACCACUUCGUCA